UACUCCUACGGGAGGCAGCAGUGAGGAAUUUUGCGCAAUGGGGGGAACCCUGACGCAGCAACGCCGCGUGAGUGAAGAAGGCCUUCGGGUCGUAAAGCUCUGUCGAGUGGGAAGAACCUUCGUAUGUUGAAUAUACAUACGGACUGACGGUACCACAGAAGGAAGCACCGGCUAACUCCGUGCCAGCAGCCGCGGUAAUA
RNAcentral lists this ribosomal RNA (200 nucleotides) under uncultured Desulfococcus sp. RNAcentral's name for it is "partial 16S ribosomal RNA". It matches the Rfam family "Bacterial small subunit ribosomal RNA", at positions 334 to 525 of the family's 1533-position model. The record is from RNAcentral. Lineage: Bacteria; Pseudomonadati; Thermodesulfobacteriota; Desulfobacteria; Desulfobacterales; Desulfococcaceae.